Molecule: small RNA, 21 nt
Filed under: Arabidopsis thaliana (thale cress)
Lineage: Eukaryota; Viridiplantae; Streptophyta; Magnoliopsida; Brassicales; Brassicaceae
Description: ATSL305170
Source: RNAcentral
AAAACAAAACAAAAGAAGAAA